CCUACGGGGAGCAGCAGUGGGGAAUAUUGGACAAUGGGCGAAAGCCUGAUCCAGCCAUGCCGCGUGUGUGAAGAAGGCCUUCGGGUUGUAAAGCACUUUCAGUGGGGAAGAAAGCCUUGGGGCUAAUACCCUCGAGGAAGGACAUCACCCACAGAAGAAGCACCGGCUAACUCCGUGCCAGCAGCCGCGGUAAUACGGAGGGUGCGAGCGUUAAUCGGAAUUACUGGGCGAAAAGCGCGCGUAGGCGGUCUGAUAAGCCGGUUGUGAAAGCCCCGGGCUCAACCUGGGAACGGCAUCCGGAACUGUCAGGCUAGAGUGCAGGAGAGGAAGGUAGAAUUCCCGGUGUAGCGGUGAAAUGCGUAGAGAUCGGGAGGAAUACCAGUGGCGAAGGCGGCCUUCUGGACUGACACUGACGCUGAGGUGCGAAAGCGUGGGUAGCAAACAGGAUUAGAUACCCCUGUAGUC
This 465-nucleotide ribosomal RNA is filed under the name Vreelandella stevensii. Its description in RNAcentral is "partial 16S ribosomal RNA". It matches the Rfam family "Bacterial small subunit ribosomal RNA", at positions 338 to 795 of the family's 1533-position model. Lineage: Bacteria; Pseudomonadati; Pseudomonadota; Gammaproteobacteria; Oceanospirillales; Halomonadaceae. The record is from RNAcentral.